Molecule: ribosomal RNA, 253 nt
Filed under: uncultured bacterium
Lineage: Bacteria
Description: partial 16S ribosomal RNA
Rfam family: Bacterial small subunit ribosomal RNA
Source: RNAcentral
UACGUAGGGGGCAAGCGUUGUCCGGAUUUAUUGGGCGUAAAGAGCGUGUAGGCGGCCAUACAGGUCCGUUGUGAAAACUGGAGGCUUAACCUCCAGACGUCGAUGGAAACCGUAUGGCUAGAGUCCGGAAGAGGAGAGUGGAAUUCCUGGUGUAGCGGUGAAAUGCGCAGAUAUCGGGAGGAACACCAGUGGCGAAGGCGACUUCCUGGCCUGUUCUUGACGCUGAGGCGCGAAAGCUAGGGUAGCAAACGGG